This 1037-nucleotide long non-coding RNA is filed under the name Homo sapiens (human). RNAcentral describes it as "long non-coding RNA NONHSAT182190.1". The record is from RNAcentral. Lineage: Eukaryota; Metazoa; Chordata; Mammalia; Primates; Hominidae.
GCGGCAGUGACUUCGCCGCUGCUGUAGUUCCCCGGCUGGAUGCGGUGACUGGUGCCAGUGCUCAGGCGCCCGCUGCCCUUGACCUCCCGCCCCGCGAGCCCUAACUCAGCGCAGGAGGACCGGCUGCCGCCGCCGCCGCCGCCAGAGCCUUGGCUGCCCAGUUGCCAGUCCUACCACGGUCGGAGGUAACCUUCCUGGCUCCAGUCACAUGGCCAGAUAAGGUGGUGUGUGUGGGCAUGAAUUAUGUGGACCACUGCAAAGAACAGAACGUGCCCGUGCCCAAGGAGCCCAUCAUCUUCAGCAAGUUUGCCAGCUCCAUCGUGGGGCCCUAUGAUGAGGUGGUCCUCCCACCACAGAGCCAGAUCCACACAACUUAAAGAUCUGCUGUCGAGUGAAUGGGGAAGUGGUCCAGAGCAGCAACACCAACCAGAUGGUAUUCAAGACAGAGGACCUGAUAGCCUGGGUGUCCCAGUUUGUUACCUUUUACCCAGGGGAUGUCAUCCUGACUGGGACCCCCCCACCUCCACCCAGGUGUCGGUGUAUUCAGGAAACCUCCUGUCUUUCUCAAGGUCUCUGAAGGUCCAGACAGCACUGAUGGCGAGCUUUGGGUCCGCACACUCUGGAAAGAAGAGAGAAGUGAAGGCUCUAGGAACUGGAACAGCUGCUCUGUGUAGCCCAACUCUGCAGAAGAGAGAAGACCUAGACCUGGCACCCAGCACAGACACAGCCUGCCUCGAGGACUGCAAGGGAACAAGGGCCUCACCAGUAUCGGGCAGCUGGCCCUGGCGGAGGAAGGCGGCAGCCUGUGCAAAGGCCUUGAGCAGCGGGCUGAGCAGGCGGCAGAGGAAAAGAAAGAAAUCUGGGCAGUGUGACUGCUGGCUGAGCUGGAGGGGACAGGCCGGGGUGAGUGCAGCUCCCCACCGCCUCCCUACCACCUCCCUCCAGGGGCAGCUUUUUGAAACACACCCUGAAGUACCGGCCGUCAGCCUCUCCGAAGUCAUCACUGUCACUAUCAGUAAAGUCCCCACUCGGUUUCC